AUAGCAUAUCAAUAAGCGGGAGGAAAAGAAACUAACAAGGAUUCCCCUAGUAACUGCGAGUGAAGCGGGAAAAGCUCAAAUUUAAAAUCUGGCGGUCUUUGGCCCGUCCGAGUUGUAAUCUAGAGAAGUAAUGCCCGUGCUGGACCGUGUAUAAGUCUCCUGGGAUGGGGCGUCAUAGAGGGUGAGAAUCCCGUCUUUGACACGGACUACCAGUGCAUUGUGGUAUGCUCUCAAAGAGUCGAGUUGUUUGGGAAUGCAGCUCAAAAUGGGUGGUAAAUUCCAUCUAAAGCUAAAUAUUGGCGAGAGACCGAUAGCGAACAAGUACCGUGAGGGAAAGAUGAAAAGAACUUUGGAAAGAGAGUUAAACAGUACGUGAAAUUGCUGAAAGGGAAACGCUUGAAGUCAGUCGCGUUGGCCAGGGAUCAGCCUUGCUUUUGCAUGGUGUACUUUCUGGUUGACGGGUCAGCAUCAAUUUUGACCGCUGGAAAAAGGCUUGGGGAAUGUGGCAGCAUUGGCUGUGUUAUAGCCCCUGGUCACAUACAGCGGUUGGGAUUGAGGAACUCAGCACGCCGCAAGGCCGGGUUUCGACCACGUUCGUGCUUAGGAUGCUGGCAUAAUGGCUUUAAGCGACCCGUCUUGAAACACGGACCAAGGAGUCUAACAUGCCUGCGAGUAUUUGGGUGGAAAACCCGAGUGCGCAAUGAAAGUGAAAGUUGAGAUCCCUGUCGUGGGGAGCAUCGACGCCCGGACCAGAACUUUUGCGACGGAUCCGCGGUGGAGCAUGUAUGUUGGGACCCGAAAGAUGGUGAACUAUGCCUGAAUAGGGUGAAGCCAGAGGAAACUCUGGUGGAGGCUCGUAGCGAUUCUGACGUGCAAAUCGAUCGUCAAAUUUGGGUAUAGGGGCGAAAGACUAAUCGAACCAUCUAGUAGCUGGUUCUGCGACUUUUUCUCCCCCGAGAGAAAGAAAA
This 968-nucleotide ribosomal RNA is filed under the name Agaricus sp. RNAcentral describes it as "partial large subunit ribosomal RNA". It matches the Rfam family "Eukaryotic large subunit ribosomal RNA", at positions 35 to 989 of the family's 3401-position model. Lineage: Eukaryota; Fungi; Basidiomycota; Agaricomycetes; Agaricales; Agaricaceae. The record is from RNAcentral.